GAGGUAAGUCAGCCAUUCCAUUCGGCUGAUUAUUCAACUGCUGGUAGUUUUAUCCAUGAGGUUAGAAAUUUAGAAUUCAUUAUCAUUGCACUGUAGAUGGUUUAAAGGGAAGUACAGUUAAGCAUUUCAAUCUUGAAAAUGUUCUAGUGUGACAUUAACAGGAGUUCGUCAAAAGGCUGGAAAUACGCCCCCCAGUUAUGACGUCAAACUGCAGAUGGUAACUUCACAUAAUCAGUUCUUGUUUAAAUGUUGAAGGUGUUUCAGAAUGGAAAAAAGUGUCAGGAUUGGAUGUUAUCUGGGUUUUUACUAGCCACAAUAUCCAUCACUUCAUGCCAUCCGUUGAAGUAGGCCGGUCAUCAUGGCGGCACAUUUUACCAUCCCACUUCAUUGAAGAAACCCAACAACAUGUCGGAUCACCCAAAAGUUGGAUCAAUUCAAAAGUAAGCUGGAUAACAGAAUAUCUUCCAGGCGGUUCUGCUCUCACGGAAUGGUUCUUUAAUGCCAUCUGGAGACGAGUCAUUCAAACGCAUUCAAAGUCCCUCUUCUUACCUGAUCUCGUUCGGUGGUUCGGUUUUCCCGCAAAUAACCCACACGCUAAAAUGUAUCUCGACAAAAACUCGAGUAAAAAAGAUGAGAAGCAGCACAGCUUGUCUGUUUUUACUUCAUCUUUCAAGCUGUUACGCUGGACCAGUCCGUUCGCUUCGUACGUCUGCAGUGAAAUUACACGAUUUCCUGAUGGCUAACAUCCAAGGAGUUGCUCGCAACGACCAGCCGAGUCAAAUACAAGAUUAUCUUAUUCCAAUUGAAGAGAAUAAUGGAGACCUUUCUGACACCACUAACGAACCUUUCGUAGACCAAUCGGCGUUUCAAGACUUUGACGUUCAAGAACCGGAACGGGUUACCCAUACUUUAACUUACUUCUCUUUGCCUGCUGUUUCUAAUGGUGGGACCGAACAGCCAGCAUUAUCAUUGGAUGCCAACGUCAUCCACAGCGACCUACCCAAUUCAGGUUCUAUUGGAACUGAUAUUCUAUCGGAUGUUCAAGAGCCAACACAGAACCUGGAAGAGCCUCAUUCCGAAAUUGUUGGCGAACAAGAGCCUGUUAUGGAUCAUAUGGUCGUCCAUAAAGAGUGCUGAGUUGCUGACAAGUAAAACCUCUAGCGACCCCAGAAUCGUCUGCUAGCUGAUAAGUUAGCACUUGGAAGAGUUAGCUCUGGACGUGCACUCAUAAUUCAACUUGUGGACUUGUGGUAGACGCAUGAGAGGUUCGUCCAAAGUGAGAAAAGAUGUUUUGAUGCGAUCUGCUGUUCUAUGCCGACCCUGCUGGGUGCGAGGGAUAUACCGCUGUUACGUGCUAACCCUACCCUAUUUUUACUCCUCACUAGGUUGAAAAUACUCCCCCAGUUUUGUCGUCAACCUACUCCAUGUGCUAACAUGACAUCAUCAGUUCUUGUUUCAAUGUGGAAGGAUUACUGUAAAGUAGCUGCCAAGGAGGAUAACAUGUCAGGAUUGGAUGUUAUUAGUUUUCUAGGGGUUUUUCCUUGCCACCAUAUCCGUCACUCCAAACCAUCCAUUGAAGUUGAAGCUGGUCAUCAUGGCGCGAUAUUUUACCACCCCACCCAUCGAACAGACCCAUCGAACAGACCCAUCGAUAGACAUGUCGCCUCAUCCAAAAAUGAGAAGCAGCACAGCUUGCCUGUUCUUACUUCAUCUUUCAAGCUGUUACGCUGGACCGGUCCGUUCGUCUCGUACUACGUUUGCAGUGAAAUUACACGAUGUCCUGGCUAACAUCCAAGGAGUUGCUCGCAACGACCAGCCGAGGCAAAUACAAGAUUAUCUUAUUCCAAUUGAAGAAAAUAAUGGAAACUUUUCUGACGUUUCAAGACUUUGACGUUCAAGAACCUGAAAUAGUUACCGACACUUUAACUUUCUUCUCUUCGCCUGGUGUUUCGGACGGGGCCAGCACUACCAUUGUGGGAUGCCAACGUCAUUCACAGCCACCUACCCAAUUCAGGUUCUAUUGAAACUGAGAUUCUAUCGGAUGUUCAAGAGCCAACACAGAACCUGGAAGAGCCUCAUUCCGAAAUUGUUGGCGAACAAGAGCCUGUUAUGGAUCAUCUGGUUGUCCUACCGAUAGAAACAACUGAUUAGCUCUAUCAUUUACCAACUGUUGCAGCACCUUCUGAUCCAGCGGAGCUUCUUCUAAUGUAUUCACUUGUGCGUGUCCCAACGGCUCCGUCAGCCACAUCCGCUACUGUGGCUGAUUCGCUUCUGGAAAUAAUGUUACCGUCCACGACAGAGAAAGUGGAAAUCAGUUCCUCACCUGAAUCUCUGUAUCAUUCAUCAGCCACUUCUGGACCGGAGCAAUGGAUCAGUGUCGACCCUCUUCCGCUGGAGUUGGAUCCAGCAAAGUCACAGACAACAUCGUCCUCCCUAAUCACCGAUUCCCAGCAGAUUAUCCAAGUUGAUCAACCCAAAUGUCAAUCAAACAUCUCGUACGAGCUCUUCACUACAGACAAUCCAAAUGGAAAAGAGAGCAACUCUUCCGGUCUUCCGUUCGGAACUCAUCGUUCUAAACUGAGGGAGCUGCGCUUUCCUCCUGUAUCAAACACGAAAGAAAAUUUUGGUGUUCAAAUCAAUUGGGAUGAAUUCAUGUAAUUGUGUUUCAAUCUGUCUGUGUGCAUUUUCAAAAUUCUCGCUUAAGCAACGAAAUGGAUGUGUAAACACGUUCAUUUCUAGUACUCACCGGUGUUGGGUCAUAAAGUUUUGCUAGUUGACACGAAUCACAUACUUCUUGAUGAAGUUUUCAUGUGCUAUAGUGUUUGUAGUUUUUCUCCUUAUUGCCUUUGCAAAUAUUAAAUGAGAAUUUUAAAAGA
RNAcentral lists this unclassified non-coding RNA (2876 nucleotides) under Daphnia pulex (common water flea). RNAcentral's name for it is "uncharacterized LOC124202640, transcript variant X1". Lineage: Eukaryota; Metazoa; Arthropoda; Branchiopoda; Diplostraca; Daphniidae. The record is from RNAcentral.